CCUACGGGUGGCUGCAGUGGGGGAUAUUGCACAAUGGGGGGAACCCUGAUGCAGCGACGCCGCGUGGGUGAAGAAGCGCCUCGGCGCGUAAAGCCCUGUCAGCAGGGAAGAAAAUGACGGUGCCUGAAGAAGAAGCCCCGGCUAACUACGUGCCAGCAGCCGCGGUAAUACGUAGGGGGCAGGCGUUGUCCGGAUUUACUGGGGGGAAGGGGGGCGCAGACGGCGAUGCAAGACAGGAGUGAAAGCCCGGGGCGCAACCCCGGGACUGCUCGUGGAACUGCGUGGCUGGAGUGCAGGAGGGGCAGGCGGAAUUCCUGGUGUAGCGGUGAAAUGCGUAGAUAUCAGGAGGAACACCGGUGGCGAAGGCGGCCUGCUGGACUGUAACUGACGCUGAGGCCCGAAAGCGUGGGGAGCAAACAGGAUUAGAUACCCGUGUAGUC
This 440-nucleotide ribosomal RNA is filed under the name uncultured bacterium. RNAcentral's name for it is "partial 16S ribosomal RNA". It matches the Rfam family "Bacterial small subunit ribosomal RNA", at positions 338 to 795 of the family's 1533-position model. The record is from RNAcentral.